GAUGAACGCUGGCGGCGUGCCUAAUACAUGCAAGUCGAGCGAACGGACGAGAAGCUUGCUUCUCUGAUGUUAGCGGCGGACGGGUGAGUAACACGUGGAUAACCUACCUAUAAGACUGGGAUAACUUCGGGAAACCGUAGCUAAUACCGGAUAAUAUUUUGAACCGCAUGGUUCAAAAGUGAAAGACGGUCUUGCUGUCACUUAUAGAUGGAUCCGCGCUGCAUUAGCUAGUUGGUAAGGUAACGGCUUACCAAGGCAACGAUGCAUAGCCGACCUGAGAGGGUGAUCGGCCACACUGGAACUGAGACACGGUCCAGACUCCUACGGGAGGCAGCAGUAGGGAAUCUUCCGCGAUGGGCGAAUGCCUGACGGAGCAACGCCGCGUGAGUGAUGAAGGUCUUCGGAUCGUAAAACUCUGUUAUUAGGGAAGAACAUAUGUGUAAGUAACUGUGCACAUCUUGACGGUACCUAAUCAGAAAGCCACGGCUAACUACGUG
This 497-nucleotide ribosomal RNA is filed under the name uncultured bacterium. RNAcentral describes it as "partial 16S ribosomal RNA". It matches the Rfam family "Bacterial small subunit ribosomal RNA", at positions 28 to 507 of the family's 1533-position model. The record is from RNAcentral.